Molecule: long non-coding RNA, 1338 nt
Filed under: Homo sapiens (human)
Lineage: Eukaryota; Metazoa; Chordata; Mammalia; Primates; Hominidae
Description: HSALNT0163241
Source: RNAcentral
CAUUACCUUCAUUUGUGUUUAACUUAAGAUUUGUGCCACUUAUAGUUCGGGAGAACAAGGAUAAAGAUCUUAAGGAUGGACUAGUAUUCCAGGGUCCUAUUGAUCUGUCAGUCAAACUUCUUACUGAAAAGGUGAAAUGGAUAAUGCUGCUUGGCAGUGUACAGAUGUGGUUUUGUUUUGUUUUAGGGAAAAUGGCCAAUCACAAAAACAGCUGCCUUCCUGGAAAAGUGAGAUUCUAACUCUUUGUGUUACUGGCAUGGAAAAGAUAGUGGCUCUGAUAAUUUGGUCAGUGCCAGCCAAUGGUGAGAACAUUCUAUGAUUGCCAUAUGUCAUGUGACCAUAUGUCACAAUCAGUAGAAAGGCAGUUCUGGUUCAAAAUAACAGAAUAAAGACUAGAACACUAUUGUUUUGCUAGCAAAGUUUUGUUCUCAUUUUUUUUUUUUCUUAUUACAAAGUGACUUUGUGUUCUUACAGUUUGUGGGUGCAUAGUUCAUGACAAUGGGCGGGACAUUUAACUUGUUUUUCCUCACUGUGGUAUAGGUGGAAUGAAAAUAAAACAAGGUGUUGCUUGAUCUUGUUUAGUGCAUCUCCAAUCUUGCUUAUGACAAGUUUGAAUCAGCGCAGUGAAGAGAGGGGAGAAAAACUGGAAAAAUGUAGAGGUCUUGUGUAAAUACACUAAAAUUUGCAACACGUUUUUAAUGGCAGUGUUAUUUGUAUUUUCUAUGGUUGGUGGUUUCAAAUGUUUGGAGAAAACCCAAAAUUUUAUUUUAAAAGUAAAGUCAUAAGGACAGCAAAAAAAGCCAAUAAAAAGUAAUGAAAGUUUUCCUUAUAGCUUAAACACGAAUGACAAAUAUUUUUGAGCUAACUUUUGGAAAUGUACACAUCUUUGAGUGAUAGACAAUUAAAGAACCCAGGAAAAUCCCUAAAAUGGUAUCCUAUUGGGCAGGUACUGAAUGAAUCUUUUUGUGGGAAAAGAUGUCAGUUAAUUUUUGAAUUGUUUGGACAAUCUCUGAAAGGACUAUGAAGUAAGCAUAUGUAUAAGCAUAGUGAAUACAUACAAGUAUGUAUUCAUUGACUUAGAUUCAUUGACUUAGAUUAAUAGCCUUACAAAAAGCAAAACCUAUUUAUAAAUAAUAAGCCAAAAUGAAUAGGAGGAAUAGAUUAGAUAGGAGUUGAUUAAAUAGAUAGGAAAGACAGCAGGGAGUCAUAAAAUACAUUUUUAAAAAAUUUAUCCAUCUUUAAUUCUGUCAACUAUAUUAGAGACCAAAUGUUACCUAAGAGAGAGCUCUAAGGCCUCUCUUCAAUGGGAGAAAGUAAUCUCAAUUUUUUUUUUUUUUU